Ictidomys tridecemlineatus (thirteen-lined ground squirrel) is the source of this 3563-nucleotide non-coding RNA. The record is from RefSeq and is a predicted model, not a curated record. Lineage: Eukaryota; Metazoa; Chordata; Mammalia; Rodentia; Sciuridae.
AACCAUGCCAAGUAGAAGAGUCAUGACUGGGGCAAGAUGUUCUUUUCCUUCUGCUAAAGAAACUUUUAAGAACAUGGAACUACCUAAUGGGGCAUUGUUUCUGUAACUAUGGUAACGGGGCUCUGUUUCUGUAACUGGGGUGAUUGGGCUAACUGUGACUGGUUAGGCUUCCCUCCGCUUGGCUGUACUGUCCCGCUCCUGUAACUUAACCUCUCUUUUGCGGUUUUCAGGCUUAUAAGGAGCGCCCUUGUAAUUGUUCGGGGCUGAUCCAGGGGAACAGCUUUAUGUUCUGGUCAGCCGCCACCGGUGUGCUUCAAUAAAGGCUUGAUUAGAUUAUACGUGAGUGGUCUGGAAGUCAGUUUAUGAAACCCUGGGAGGAAGCUUUAACUAUAACAUCUGGGGGCUCGGGGAUCCGUUUCUUCCCUACCCUCACCCCAAAUUUGCCUCCAGUGACGGGCCUUUGGACCUCCGCCAGGAGUAGAGGGGAGCUCCUGAGAGACAUUCCUCAGCCUCACUCUGAGGACGACUCCAGUCUGUCCUAGGAGGCUCUGAAAAGCCUCCUGCCAGCCUGUCAGUUCUGAUCUAAACCAUUUCCUCACAUGUGCUUGACAAGUGCUCUACCAUUGAGCUGCAACCCCAGCCCUGAAAGUCUUGCAUAAAGAAGAAAAAACAUUGGCAUCUUUGGAUUCUGCACAUUUCCAGGAGAGAACCUCGGAGAAAAGAUGUGUACUGUCAAUUUUAAAAACUAUGCCACAUCUGGAUGUAUCAUCCCUAAGCCAAAUGUGCCUUCCUUAUUGGAGCAAGGAAAGGAGCCUUAAAUGGUGGUGAGAAAGCCGUGUUGUUCUAUGUGAAGGAAUGAUAUGGCAGUUCUUGCAUACUUUCUUGCCUUUCCAGUUGCUGGGAUUACAGGUGUGCACCACCCUGCCUAUCUUCAAGUCAAUAGUUAUUGGUAUCCCCAUUCUACGGUUAUAAAAGAGGCCAGGUUCCUGAAGGUUUCCCACAUUACAUCUCUGUAGAGCUUCUUUUGGAAAGGAUCCAGCAAAGCCCACUCCUCUACAGAAAAGCUCAGAGCGACAUCCUCAAAGUGCUCUGUCAGAAAAUUAGGAUCCAGGAGAUACUGAAUGCCCUGUCAGGCAAUUUGGGAAUACUGGUUGGAAAAAAAAAAGAGGGACAUCUAGGGAAGGCAUGGGACUGUCUGACAACCAUCAUUUACCACCUUGGAAUGAAUCAGGUAAUUAGUUUAAGGACAUGUGAUAAAAAUAUUCAUAUGCUUUGAAAUAAAUGAUUACAUUUUGGAAACAAUUUGAGUCAAAUGGGUUAUGACUUCAAAUUCCAAGAGUUGACCAGUCCUCCUCUGGAUUAUUCUCUUGGUAAAGCAGCCAUGAGAACAGAGCUAGAGGAAAAGAAUGGAGAAAUAAGAAAGGCCAUUUUCUUCCUUGCAGGAAGGUUAGAGGAAGUCUGGGAAAAUCUUGGCCCUAUUCCAACUAGAGAGAUUUUACUUAAGCACUAUGGAGUUUCAGUCUAAUUAAAAUUGUCAAAAUCAUUACAUGAAUCUAGGUAUGAGAUAACAUCAUUUUAAUUUUUUGCAAGUGUUCUCUACAAUUAUACAAACCCAAGAUCAUCUCAAGGGCAAUGGAAUUUUCCAAUUGGGAGUGCACUGUACCUGCCCACAGCAGUCCUACAUACUUCCAUGACAGUAACUUUUAUUUCCUCCAUGUCCAACGAAGUUUAUUGCACCUACCAACUGAUUUUCAUCCAAAGCAUCCAAGAGGGGCCAUAAAUCUAAAGACUCAUCAAAGGAAAGCAGAUGGGAUAUGAGAGACGUAUGAUAUACUUUAAAGGAGUAACUAAUUCUGUUUCUGCCAGUCCUCCUGGAAAGAGUGUGGAAAAAAACAAGGAGAACGUUUUAGAUGCCACAGUCAUACUAUAAAGAAAAUCAAGAAAUAUUCAUUGCCAUGAGGAGAAGGCCAGACCCUGAAUGGAAGUUUCUGUGAGCAAAACUGAUAUAAAAAAGAGGUACUAAAAGGAGACAUAUAGAAAUAACGGCAAUUCAGCUAGUAAAACAGCUGGCUACUAUAUUUUUAACAGCUUUAUUGGGUUACAAUUCCAUACUACAUAAUUAGCCAAUUUAGAGUGAACAAUUCAAUGGUUCUUAGUGUAUUUUUAUAUAUGUGCAACCAUCUUAAGUCAAUUUCAGAAUAUUGUCAUCAAUGCAAAAAGAAAACCUAUACCUUUUUUAGCUAUUAUUCCUCCUGUUACCCACCUAAACUUAAAUAAUGAAUUAUCUAGCUUUUUUUCUCUAUUGAUAACCACCCCAUAGCUUUUAACACAAAUGGAAUCAAUACAUGGACUCAUGAGUGGUUUCUUUCUUUUCUUUUCUUUUUUAGAGAGAGAGAGAGAGAAUUUUUUAAUAUUUAUUUUUUAGUUUUCAGCGGACACAACAUCUUUUUUUUUUGUAUGUGGUGCUGAGGAUCAAACCCGGGCUGCAUGCAUGCCAGGCGAGCAUGCUACUGCUUGAGCCACAUCCCCAGCCCCAUGAGUGGUUUCUUUGAUUUAUCAUGUUUUCAAGGUUCAUCCAAGUUGUAGCACAUCUAAAUAUAACUUUCUACUAAUAAUAUUCCUGCACAGAUAGACCAUAUUGUUUACCCAUUGCUCCAGUAAUGGACAUUUGAGCCAUUUCUAACCUUUGACUAUUAUGAAAAAUGUGGCUAUGCGCUUUCAUAGACAAAUCACUGUGUACCUAUUUUGGAAUUUUCACAAUGUAAAUUAAGUUCUUUUGUUAAAUUUAUUCUAAAGUACUUUUUUGGAGUAUAUUACUGGGUCAAUUUCAUUUGUGGAUUGUUUGCUGCACAUGUACAAAGACACAAUUAAUCCUAUAUCCUCAAGCUUAGCUGAAACUCAGUUCUAUUUAUUUUAAAUAAUAUUUUUAUACCUUUAUUUUAUUUAUUUUUAUGUGAUGCUGAGGAUUGAACCCAGAACCUUGCAUGUGCUAGGCAAGCACUCUACCUCUGAGCCACAACCCCAGCCCCUAUUUUUUUUCUCUUGUAUAUGUGUCUUGAUUUUUUAGGAUUUUCUAUGUAAUGUCAUCUGGAAAUGGAGAUGAUUUUUAUGUGUAUUCCAACCUUGAUUCCUUUCUUUCUUUUUCUUGUCUACAUGCUCUGGCUGAAACCUCCAUAAUGUUGAAUAGAAGUAGCAAAAGUGGAUAUCCUUGCCUUGUCUCCCUGAUCUUAGGGGGAAAACACUAGGCUUGCAGCAUUAUGAUGUCAAGCAUAUACCUAGAUGUUUUGUGUCAUGUUCAGGAAAUUCCCUUUUAUUCCUAGUUUAUAGAAUGUUUUUAUUAUGAAAGGGUAUUGGCUUUUGUUAAAUGCAUUUUUUCUGUCUAUUGAGUUUGUGUGAUUUUAUUAUUAUUAUUAUAUUAAUAAGAUGCAUUACAUUAAUUGAUUUGAGGUUAAACCAACCUUCCAUUCCUGGGAUAUAUCUGACAAUGUCAUGUUGUAUAAUUCAUUUUGUUACUGGAUUUGGUUUGCUAGUACAUUUAAAGACUUCUGCACCCUUAUUCUUAA